AGAGUUUGAUCAUGGCUCAGGACGAACGCUGGCGGCGUGCUUAACACAUGCAAGUCGAGCGGUAAGGCCCUUCGGGGUACACGAGCGGCGAACGGGUGAGUAACACGUGGGUGACCUGCCCUCUACUCUGGGAUAAGCCUGGGAAACUGGGUCUAAUACCGGAUAUGACUACAUGUCGCAUGGUGUGUGGUGGAAAGCCAGUUACUGUGGUUUCUGGUGGUGGGGGAUGGGCCCGCGGCCUAUCAGCUUGUUGGUGGGGUGAUGGCCUACCAAGGCGACGACGGGUAGCCGGCCUGAGAGGGCGACCGGCCACACUGGGACUGAGACACGGCCCAGACUCCUACGGGAGGCAGCAGUGGGGAAUAUUGCGCAAUGGGCGGAAGCCUGACGCAGCGACGCCGCGUGGGGGAUGACGGCCUUCGGGUUGUAAACCUCUUUCGGCCCCGACGAAGCGUUUUGUGACGGUAGGGGUAGAAGAAGCACCGGCCAACUACGUGCCAGCAGCCGCGGUA
This 512-nucleotide ribosomal RNA is filed under the name uncultured Actinomycetes bacterium. Its description in RNAcentral is "bacterial SSU rRNA". It matches the Rfam family "Bacterial small subunit ribosomal RNA", at positions 8 to 522 of the family's 1533-position model. The record is from RNAcentral. Lineage: Bacteria; Bacillati; Actinomycetota; Actinomycetes.